AUGGAGCUGUCGUCUGCUUUCGAGGAGCGCGUCCGGCAGAUGGAGGACGCGCGCAACCACUGCAUGACCCGCCUCCAAGCCGAGAAGGAGAUCCAGGCCGCCAAGUCCCGCCUCCUCGCCGCCAAGGUCGCCGCCGCCCGCCGCCUCGAGGGCCGCCGCCUCCUCCUCGAGCGCCGCGCCGCGGACCUCGCCUCCCGCGCCCUCGCCGCCCGCGCCGGCAUCGACGCCGCCAACGCGCGCCGCCUCGCCGUCGCCCGCGACAUCAGCUCGACCAACGGCGAGAUCGAGGAGGCGCAGCGGAAGGCGGAGGAGUGGGACCGCUUCUACGAGUCCAAGAGGAAGGAGAUGGAGGAGUUCCGGGCGAUGUCGCAGCAGUUCGAGGCGGGAGCUCGUCAGGAAGUGCAGAGGCUCAAGGCCUCUGUGUCUCAACUGCAGGCAGCCCUGCAGGAGCUGCAGAGCGGCGGGUUGCGCUCGGACGACGCCGGGAUCGGGACCGCGGAAGCCAGGAAGGCCGACCUCAUGGCCAAGAAGGCGAAGCUGGAUGUGAGCCUGGCUGCUGCCCGACAGUUCAGAGCACUGCUUCGGCAGCAGCUCCAGAAAGCCUUCGCGUCACAGGUUAGGGAUCAAAAGGCAGCACAAAACUGA
This 645-nucleotide ribosomal RNA is filed under the name Triticum aestivum (bread wheat). RNAcentral describes it as "partial small subunit ribosomal RNA". Lineage: Eukaryota; Viridiplantae; Streptophyta; Magnoliopsida; Poales; Poaceae. The record is from RNAcentral.